AAAGGAAUAGACGGGGGCCCGCACAAGCAGUGGAGUAUGUGGAUUAAUUCGACGCAACGCGAAGAACCUUACCAGGGCUUGACAUCCUACUAACGAGGCAGAGAUGCGUUAGGUGCCCUUCGGGGAAAGUAGAGACAGGUGGUGCAUGGUUGUCGUCAGCUCGUGUCGUGAGAUGUUGGGUUAAGUCCCGCAACGAGCGCAACCCUUACGGUUAGUUGCUACGUUAAGAGCACUCUAGCCGGACUGCCGUUGACAAAACGGAGGAAGGCGGGGACGAUGUCAAAUCAUCAUGCCCCUUACGUCCUGGGCUUCACACGUACUACAAUGGCGGACAUACAACGGGUAGCGACAUAGCGAUAUGAAGCCAAUCCCUAAAAAGCCGCCUCAGUUCGGAUUGCAGGCUGAAACCCGCCUGCAUAAAGUCGGAAUUGCUAGUAAUCGCGGAUCAGCAUGCCGCGGUGAAUACGUUCCCGGGCCUUGUACACACCGCCCGU
Molecule: ribosomal RNA, 494 nt
Filed under: uncultured bacterium
Lineage: Bacteria
Description: bacterial SSU rRNA
Rfam family: Bacterial small subunit ribosomal RNA
Source: RNAcentral